GACGUACUGCAGCAGGGGUCUCCCUCUGUCCUCCGCCUCCUCGCCCUCCUCGCCCUCCUCCUCCAGGGAGUGGGUGUGUCUGAAGUAGGUCUGCGCGUAGACGUAGUAGAGGCCGGGCUGCGGCACCACCAGCUCCCCAUCCACCAGCUGGACGUCCUGGAGGAAGGCCAGCCCCUUCUGCCCCUCCCACCACGAAAUCUUCUGGCCUUGAACUCGCCGCCCAGCGGAGACCGGAGCUGCGGAAAACAAACACAUUCAGAAUAAAAUCACAACCUAGAAGGUUUCAUUUCCCUUACAGUACACUGCUGCUGCAUCUAAUCUGAGUUAAUGAUGAUUAACUCCUGUAAACACAGACUGAGAGUUGAGCUGGACUGAAUCCAGGAAACCAAAGGACUUCACCAAAACAAGCAGACUCCAGAUCUCUCCACAUUUGAUCUCACCUCAAACUGAGCAUCAAUCAAGUUUCUUUUAUGAGAUAUCUGGAAAGAAGAUGGGAGAUUCUUGGAAGCUGACGGGCUUUGACUUGAAGAACGAGUGUUUGCGAGCCAGGAGGAAGUAAAGUGCAAGAAACAGAAAGCCAGCUUGUGUCUUUGAUCUCCAGCGAGAGCCAACACGGAGAAGCCCUUCAAGAGUGAAGUAUAACUCUAUGACACCUCCAUGUCCUGAUGAAGAUCAUGUAAAGCCACCAAAUGAACCUCGUGGACGCGUUGCUACUGACGGACAGUGGAUCAAACCUGUGACCUUCUAGGUUACAGGUUUGAUUUUUUUUAGUCCAUUUUGGCCCCCCACAUGGAUUACACUUGAUUACCAAAGACAUGAGGACACAUGAUCCAACAGGGAGCUCUCUGAAAUACCAGACGCUUGGCUCCAGGACAUCUUUGGUGCCACAAACAACAUCCAGAGAUCCUGGUUCACGAGGAUCUGGAGCACGUUGAUCGUCUACAGAUUCUGGUCCAGCCAGCGGAUAUAGUUGUUCAUGCUCCUCAGUCCAACGCGAGACAUCAUUGGCAGGUACGCAAACACCAUGCAGCCAUGAAAUCCAUCCUCGUAGUGAUCACUGUACACCGUGACGCCGGCGUCCUGCAGGCGCCUUGCGUACAUCAAGCCGUCAUCCCUCAGCACGUCAAACUCACAGGUCAUCACGUACGCUUUAGGCGUCCUACUUAGAACCCGCUGCUCUGCCAGCAGCGGCGCCGCCCUCACGUCCAGCAGCUCCGGUAUCAUGCCCAUCACCCCUGGCGACCCCGUUUCUUUCACAACCGGCCGAAAGUGCCUCCUGCGUUCAGCCGGGAGCAAAGCGGUCCAGUUCAGCUUUGAGCGCGUGUCGGCGCUGAUGGCCGGCUGGUCCAGGGAGCUGUGGUUGUUAGCGAGCAGGAGGGGCUCCAGGGAGGAGUCGGCGCCCAGGUACUGCAGCCAGAACUGAGCCAUGACAGGCCUGUAGAGGAUGGGCACGGCCUGGUUCUGCUGGUAGGACGGGGUAUGGAAGUCGAGCGCCUGCAGCACGGGGUAGAUCAACGCCUGGGCCUUGAACUUCACUGUCAGCGUGUCAUCUGAGCUGAGCUGCGGACACAAGUCAGGUUUUAGAUUAUAGUCCAGAUAAUAUGGGUAAAUAAAUAUGGGUAUUUUAUAUACUCCUUCGUCUUCACAGCGUCUUUAAAAUUAUUCUGAUGAUCACUUGGGUUGAUGAAGGGACAACACAACUUGUCACGUAUGGACGCUUCGUCAAGAUGCCUUGGCGUUGCUUUUUAACGCCAUACAUACCCCUUUAGCGUUGUUUUUAGAAGUGUAGGUCUCCGCGGUUCAGACGCUAGAAGUACUUGGUUACGUUCAGGAAAAGAUCAUGGUUUGGGUUAAAAUAAAUAUAUAACUUGCGUCACUUAACUAAAAUCAACGCUGACUUUUUGUUUCACACAGGGAACAUGACUAUGACGGAAAGGGGUCAGAUUGUAAACGCCAAGUAAAAACUGUUUAAAAUUCUACACUUAGUCUUUUAACUUCCUUCUUUUCAUCUUAAAACUCUUCACUUUAACCCAAACUUAUAAGGUUUUUUGAGUGCUCGCAGUUUCUGGCUGAACUAACCCUCAUUUUCACCCGAGCUGAACCGUCUCCUGAGGGUUUCCCCUCUCUGGACUCUUAACAGCAGGUUAAACCAGGCCGACUUCACCAAACACAGCAUUUGUUUUAUGUUUCAGCACAACAGAGAGCUAUUCAGUUCUGUACAUGCAAAAAUACAGUGAUAAUCCAGUAUUUUGCAUAUCGGAUCACUACUACCAGCCCGUGAGCUGGCUGGUAAGCUGCCACUAAGAGGUGAACAAGCGACUCAAGGGACUGGAACUAAAUCCUGACAAGUGCUGACAAGUGAAAUGUUUAAAUGUGCAAAAAUCUAAUGUGUGUUUCGUUUUGUUUUGGGGGUUUUUUACCUCCUGAGCCACAGCGGCCGCCAGGUUUCCCCCGGCGCUGUCUCCAGACACGCACACCCUCUCUGGAUCGAUGCUGUAUCGCUCUAACACCUGAGGGGACAGGAAAGCCCGGGACGCCGCUAACGCAUCGUGGUACUGGUCCGGGAACACCGCCUCUGGAGCAAGACGUGUGACAGGACUUACUCGACCGAUAUGACGACAGAGUCCAGGUCCUCCGCCAUUUUCCGACAGAGCCGGUCGUAAGAUCGCAUCCCUGUGAAGCAGGUGGACUCAGGGUUUUAAAUCAACACUCACGUCCGCUGCAGAGCGCCCAUCCUCCACCGUGGAAAUACAGGACCCCCCUUUUCAGCUGCUUCCCCCCUUUCGGCUGGAAGACCCGGGUGGGCACGCCGCCCAGCGUGGAGUCGGUCACGUGCACGGCGGGGCAGGAGCGAGCCUCGAUCACCUCCACCCAGGACACCACCUGGUUCAACAUGUGGACACGAUGGCACACACCCAGCUUGUGAGCCACGUCACUCUGAAAAUACAAACACGCCCGUUAUUACGCGGUUAGAGAGAGUUUUCUGUACCUGACAGGACUCCGCUUUGACUCCCGCAGCCCUGCAGAGUACAGGAAGACACUGAAAUCAAAACUUUAUAGAUGGAAAAGUAGUCUUCAAGUAGAGGUUUGUUUUCUUUGAGUGUCUUCUGGUUGUACAAACAUUUUAAUCAGAGGUGGAAGAAGUACUCAGAUCUUGUACUUAUACU
Long non-coding RNA from Micropterus dolomieu (smallmouth bass), 3167 nucleotides. RefSeq lists it as uncharacterized. The record is from RefSeq and is a predicted model, not a curated record. NCBI's taxonomy places the organism in Eukaryota, Metazoa, Chordata, Actinopteri, Centrarchiformes, Centrarchidae. The transcript is spliced from 9 exons.